UACAGAGGCCCCAAGCGUUACUGAGAAUCACUGGGUUUAAAGGGUGCGUAGGUGGCGCGUUAAGUCCGUUGUGAAAUCCCUUGGCUCAACCAAGGAAUGGCUUCGGAUACUGGCGUGCUUGAGGCCGGUAUGGGUCACUGGAACUGACGGUGGAGCGGUGAAAUGCGUAGAUAUCGGCAGGAACGCCAAUGGUGAAGACAGGUGACUGGGCCGGUUCUGACACUGAGGCACGAAAGCGUGGGGAGCGAACGGG
This 253-nucleotide ribosomal RNA is filed under the name uncultured bacterium. RNAcentral describes it as "partial 16S ribosomal RNA". It matches the Rfam family "Bacterial small subunit ribosomal RNA", at positions 524 to 776 of the family's 1533-position model. The record is from RNAcentral.